UGAAGGAAGCGAAAUUGCUUCUAGCCCUGAUGUUGUUCUCCCCACAACAAGUCGAGAGCUUUCCUCACAUCCAGCGAGAGAACCAAGUGCCACACCAAACGGCAUAAGGCCUACUAACCCCACUCCUGCGCUUGCUACUGGUAAGGACACCCCCACCACUGUCCGUCCAACUAAUCCUACCCCUUCACGACUACACGACAGGCCUUAACGACUGCUAAUCCUCGUCCCAGUAAUCCAACACCUCUCCAGGCCUCUGAGCCUCUUUUCCAAGAUUCCUCUCUCCAGGGGGACUCCCCACAGUGGAGAGUCCCCCUCGUCACAAGAGGAGAGAUUGGAAGGCCUCACCGAACUAGAGGACCCAGAUGGCUAUGAAAACGGUCUAAUUGUUUCAGCUGAAAUGCCGCACGUCGGUCCCGGAAGUUUGUAACUCGAUGUUACCGGAGAAACUAAGAAAGAUAAAGUUAAACUUCCCAGCUGUAUAAAGAGUUCUAAACCUGGAGCUCUUCCCAACAGCCAGAUCUAUAAAAUCGAGGACCCCGUGCGUCGUGGUGUACACACAGUGUGUGACUGGUG
Long non-coding RNA from Pocillopora damicornis (cauliflower coral), 573 nucleotides. The record is from RefSeq and is a predicted model, not a curated record. NCBI's taxonomy places the organism in Eukaryota, Metazoa, Cnidaria, Anthozoa, Scleractinia, Pocilloporidae.